RNAcentral lists this ribosomal RNA (253 nucleotides) under uncultured bacterium. RNAcentral's name for it is "partial 16S ribosomal RNA". It matches the Rfam family "Bacterial small subunit ribosomal RNA", at positions 524 to 776 of the family's 1533-position model. The record is from RNAcentral.
CACGUAGGAGGCGAGCGUUGUCCGGAAUCAUUGGGCGUAAAGAGCGCGCAGGCGGCUUGGCAAGUCGGGUGUGAAAUCCCGGGGCUCAACCCCGAGACUGCAUUCGAUACUGUCAGGCUAGAGGUAGGUAGGGGAGAUCGGAAUUCCUGGUGUAGCGGUGAAAUGCGCAGAUAUCAGGAGGAACACCGGUGGCGAAGGCGGAUCUCUGGGCCUUACCUGACGCUCAGGCGCGAAAGCUAGGGGAGCGAACAGG